GGAAAGUCGUAACAAGGUUUCCGUAGGUGAACCUGCGGAAGGAUCAUUAUUGUAUAACCGAGGUGCGAGGGCUGUCGCUGACCCGAAAGGUCGUGCACGCCCGAGUGCCCUCACACACAUCCAUCUCACCCCUAUGUGCACCACCGCGUGGGUCCCCCUUUGGCUUGUUCGGAGGGGGGCUUACGUUUUCACACAAACUUUGUAUGCAGUGUAGAAUGUAUUUUUUGUUUUUGCGAUCACGCAAUCAAUACAACUUUCAACAACGGAUCUCUUGGCUCUC
This 280-nucleotide unclassified non-coding RNA is filed under the name plant metagenome. RNAcentral's name for it is "partial contains small subunit ribosomal RNA, internal transcribed spacer 1, and 5.8S ribosomal RNA". The stretch from base 1 to 49 matches the Rfam family "Eukaryotic small subunit ribosomal RNA", at positions 1783 to 1831 of the family's 1831-position model. The record is from RNAcentral.